CAUGGGGGGGGGGGGGCGGUCCCUCAGCCUGAAUUGUAAAAGGGCACAGGCCAGGCUGAGGGACCCCACUGAUGCAUG
Molecule: microRNA precursor, 78 nt
Filed under: Myotis lucifugus (little brown bat)
Lineage: Eukaryota; Metazoa; Chordata; Mammalia; Chiroptera; Vespertilionidae
Description: mir-9193 microRNA precursor family
Rfam family: mir-9193 microRNA precursor family
Source: Rfam by way of RNAcentral